ACAGAAGCUAACAACUCAUCAUUAGACGAAGUCAAAGAUGAAUAAUAUUCUAACUUUGAAUACUUGUCUCUCAAGUUACAUGCACCUACCAUGCCAUUUUAUUUGUCUCAAAUUCAUAAUUCAAUAACGCUCGAGUCUAAUUAAUAAAUAGAAACAAAUAUAGUUAAUACAGUCAGUCCACAUGCACAUUUCACCUUUUGAUCAUAGAUUCAUAGUGAUGGAACGAGCACAAGAAACAACGAAUAGGACCAUCUUGGCCAAUAAUUGUAGUGCGACACAGGGCACAUAAAUAAUUGUAUGACUAUGAACCAUUGGCAUAAUUCCCAUGAGAGAGGGUGGGUCAUGGUAUUUUCUCAUAGCACACAGGGUUCAAACAAAUCUUGUCAUACAGGACACAGCUUACGGGGUGCGCAUAUCAGGCUUGAAAAGCAGAUCAAACAUGGAAAAGCAGGACCACUGCCAUAUCAAUGUCUACUACCUAUGCACAGAACAAGCCAAAGGUAGGCAACCGAGUUUAUCCCUUACUGUCCUGUUUAUGCCUCCAAGUGACAGGACUAUGUUCAAUACAAUAAUUUUAUGACAUCGAUGAAUCACAUGAUAAAACAAAUGAAUAGUUGUUCAAGAACAUGCACGGCAGUGUCCAGAAACCAUGUCGGGCAAAUUGGCAAGCAAUCAAAACUGAGAGAAACUAGAUCCCGGUCUAUCUGGUUCAAACACAACGCUUUUUCACAAAAAAUUGUAGCAUAUAAGAAUGUUAAGAUUAAACAUCCACCUAAAUAAGUAA
This is a long non-coding RNA of Populus euphratica (Euphrates poplar), 784 nucleotides long. RefSeq lists it as uncharacterized. The record is from RefSeq and is a predicted model, not a curated record. Lineage: Eukaryota; Viridiplantae; Streptophyta; Magnoliopsida; Malpighiales; Salicaceae. The transcript is spliced from 2 exons.